RNAcentral lists this long non-coding RNA (773 nucleotides) under Venturia canescens. RNAcentral's name for it is "uncharacterized LOC122413090, transcript variant X1". Lineage: Eukaryota; Metazoa; Arthropoda; Insecta; Hymenoptera; Ichneumonidae. The record is from RNAcentral.
GUUUUCAUAUUGUAAAAUGAAAUUUCCUGUUGCUCCGCAAUACUUCAAAAUAACUGUCAAUACAGAUAUAAAAAAUGAGUGCAAGAAAUUUUGGCUUCGUCAUCGCCCCCCGGACAAUCUGGAUAUCCGUUACACCAGUUUCUCUGAGGCAUACAGAUCGUGCUGUUCUCACAGAGAAACGUUCCCACGGGACACUCGUCUGCAAACAGAGAAAAUUCCAGAAGAAUGUAACAGUGGAACGAGUGAAUAACUGGAAUCAAUUGAGUGAUUCCACCCUUAAAAUCAUCUUUGGAAACAGAAAUCGAUAGAACAAUACGGUCUUAAGGUACGACACGGUAGCAUGUGUUUUGAUUGUUAACGGUGGAGCAUGCAGUUAUGCAAAUAACCGUGUGGUCCCAUGAGAAGUGCGAAUCGUACGAAACCGAUUGAAUUUCAGAGCAAGUCCAAAAUGAUGCUCCCGGAAAUAUCAAAUUAAAUGUGCCAAAGCAUCGUUACUCUCACAUUUGGAUUCUGAUCGUAAAUCGACCUUAAACGCCAGUGAAUCAUACUUUUUUAAGGAGUUUGGUUCAGCGCACAGAAAAAUAUAAAAAAUCCACUGAAAUUCACAGCCACGUUAAAUGGGCCACAGUUCAUUGAAAUUGGAAAAUAAAAAGAAGCAUAAUUAUGCAAAAAUGUAUUGUUUUUGAUUGAUAUUUCAACAGAUUAUUGAAAUAAUUAAAUCGCAUAUCGACGAAUAAUUAAAACACAAUGAUAGUUAAUGGUUAUAAUAUUCG